CAAGAGGCUGCCAGUGCCACUGGGUCAUAGCAGGAGCUCCCAAGCAUGAGUAUUCUUCUCUAUAAAACGGAGCCAUUGGAGUCAUGGAGCCCCUGCUCUAGGCCAGGGGCACUUUCUACAGGAGAAGUUUGGAAUCUACGGAUGCCUAAGACAUGGCACCCACACUGGAGGAGCUCACGUCUGAUAGGCUUGUGUCCAGCCUCCGGACCCCCUCCAACCAGAUGUCCUCACUGGGGGGGGAACCAACAUUCUGAAAGAUACUGCCGUGCAGCCAGGAUUCAGAGGCACUGAGGCUGAAGAGAGAAGAGAAAGGAUGGCGGACUCUCUUCUUCUUUCUGAAUAUUCUGGAGCAAAAGGAAAGCAGCCUGGAGCCAGGCUGGAGGAUCAGCUCCUAUGGAGGACACGCCCUGCUCCACAUAGAGGGAGAACAUGAGAGCUGGCAGAAAUAUGUAACGCCUUUUCAAACUUCUUUUCACAGAUGGCAUCUAAAAUUUCCACUCUUAUUUUAUUGGUCAAGGCAGAUUGUUUGACCAAGCUCAGUGCCAGUGGGGUAAACACACCUCCCCAUGGGCAAGAACUGCUGCAAAUCACAGGGCUGUGAGUGGGGACCUGCAGUGGACGUGGGAAGGGAUGAAAGGGAAUCGUGGAAAUAAUUACAUAAUUUAUGGUUCUCCAUCUUGAUCACAACUAUUUACCUCCCUCUCCUGAUUUCAAAAAUGCUGAGGAGUAUCUUCACAAAGGACACUCAAAUUCCAGUCAAUCAUGGCAACAGAUUUCAAGUCUACAUUCUUCAGCUAUUUCUAUAUUGAUUCCUCUUGAUAUAGAGCCUCCUGAACCAUCUUGCUGCCUCUGCUGACCACUCUGUACUGGAAGAGGGACAGAAUAAUUUACACCCAAACUUUCCCCUUUGGCAAGGGGCAGUGGGGAAGGAGAGACACACAGCAAUGGCUGUUCCAUGGAAAUUCUAAAGCUGAAUGGUCAGACAUUGCGAGAGCUCUAGACCUUGCGGAUGGGAAGUGCUCCUGAUAAGGCAGUUAAGGCUCUGAUUCUGCUCCCCAGAUGAGGCAACCCGGACAAUUGCUUGUGGCUCUUGGCUUCACCCUCAGGAAAGUAAAAAUCAUUCUUUUUCCUUACUGUUCUUGGCCACCUCUGAAGAUUAGAGAAUAUGCCUUCCUUGGGAGCUAUGAAACUUAAUCAACCUACUUU
Molecule: non-coding RNA, 1206 nt
Organism: Sus scrofa (pig)
Lineage: Eukaryota; Metazoa; Chordata; Mammalia; Artiodactyla; Suidae
Source: RefSeq, a predicted model, not a curated record